Molecule: ribosomal RNA, 425 nt
Filed under: uncultured bacterium
Lineage: Bacteria
Description: partial 16S ribosomal RNA
Rfam family: Bacterial small subunit ribosomal RNA
Source: RNAcentral
GUGGGGAAUCUUGCGCAAUGGGCGAAAGCCUGACGCAGCCAUGCCGCGUGAAUGAUGAAGGUCUUAGGAUUGUAAAAUUCUUUCACCGGGGACGAUAAUGACGGUACCCGGAGAAGAAGCCCCGGCUAACUUCGUGCCAGCAGCCGCGGUAAUACGAAGGGGGCUAGCGUUGCUCGGAAUUACUGGGCGUAAAGGGCGCGUAGGCGGACAGUUUAGUCAGAGGUGUAAGCCCAGGGCUCAACCUUGGAAUUGCCUUUGAUACUGGCUGUCUUGAGUUUGGGAGAGGUGAGUGGAACUCCGAGUGUAGAGGUGAAAUUCGUAGAUAUUCGGAAGAACACCAGUGGCGAAGGCGACUCACUGGCCCAAUACUGACGCUGAGGCGCGAAAGCGUGGGGAGCAAACAGGAUUAGAUACCCGGGUAGUCC